This is a long non-coding RNA of Spinacia oleracea (spinach), 839 nucleotides long. RefSeq lists it as uncharacterized. The record is from RefSeq and is a predicted model, not a curated record. The transcript has 3 exons. NCBI's taxonomy places the organism in Eukaryota, Viridiplantae, Streptophyta, Magnoliopsida, Caryophyllales, Amaranthaceae.
GUUUUUUGACGGAAGUUUUUCAUAUAGGCCAGAUCAAAUUUCAGGUCAUGACCAAGUUUUCCCUGCAGAGCCAAACAGGAAUCGGAAUGUUGUGAGGAUGACAUGGUGGAUGUGGAUGUGGAUGUGGAUGUGGAUGAAACAGGGGAUAUAUCAGGUUGGCUCGCAUGCGAAAUGUAUGAUUCAGCAUAGCUGGAAUAGUUCAUGCGGCUGGAAUUAUCAAUAUCUGGAUGGGCCUUAUUAAAAUUCUACCCAUUCUACCCUCUAUAAAAUUGAAUUACUAACCUCUAGCCAUAUCUUGAAGAUUAUCGUUUUUCAACAGAGAAGGAGGAGAAAACGUGUAUCUGCGCCCUUUUCGGAGUAACAAGGUCAUUGUUGGAGAAGAAACGACUUUCUCAGAGAUGAAAUUGAUGCAAAGGCAUGAGAGAGAAGGAGGGAGUGUCGUCGAAGAAGGAGAGUGUGAAUCGGAACUCAGGGAUGAAGAACAGUAACUUUAGAAGUUGCUUUGUUGAAUUUGUCAACAAUAAGCCUCCCUCUUACAUGCACUGGGGUGCACGGUGUACCCUCUCACAUUUUCUCCUUACAUGUGAGGAGAAAAUGUGAUAGUGACCACUAAUGAGCAUAAAAAUACUCUUGGGGUAUACGGUGCACCCUGGUGCACCCAGGUGCACCUAGUAAUUUUCACAAACUAACUACUCCAAAUUAAAAUUUUAGAUAAAUGAAGGUUAACCAAAUUUUUUAUUUGACCAUGCAUACAAAAAUUAGAACAUUUGUUAGUUUACUAUCCGAACGCGUGACACUAAAUGUAUGGACUAAUCGUGCUCAAUAAUUAAUACGAAGGU